GACGAACGCUGGCGGCGUGCUUAACACAUGCAAGUCGAACGGAAAGGCCCUGCUUUUGUGGGGUGCUCGAGUGGCGAACGGGUGAGUAACACGUGAGUAACCUGCCCUUGACUUUGGGAUAACUUCAGGAAACUGGGGCUAAUACCGGAUAGGAGCUCCUGCUGCAUGGUGGGGGUUGGAAAGUUUCGGCGGUUGGGGAUGGAUUCGCGGCUUAUCAGCUUGUUGGUGGGGUAGUGGUUUACCAAGGCUUUGACGGGUAGCCGGCCUGAGAGGGUGACCGGCCACAUUGGGACUGAGAUACGGCCCAGUCUCCUACGGGAGGCAGCAGUGGGGAAUAUUGCGCAAUGGGCGGAAGCGUGAUGCAGCAACGCCGCGUGCGGGAUGACGUCCUUCGGGUUGUAAACCGCUUUCGCCUGUGACGAAGCGUGAGUGACGGUAAUGGGUAAAGAAGCACCGGCUAACUACGUG
RNAcentral lists this ribosomal RNA (468 nucleotides) under uncultured bacterium. RNAcentral describes it as "partial 16S ribosomal RNA". It matches the Rfam family "Bacterial small subunit ribosomal RNA", at positions 28 to 507 of the family's 1533-position model. The record is from RNAcentral.